GAAAAUAAAAUAAUGUAAACACAAUGUUUUGAAUUGAAAAGUCGAUGAGAAAGUAAAUUGUUUUGUAGUACAAUUAUAUAGGAAUUGAAAAUCUCUCAUUUUUUUUUCUUCUAUAAUUGAUACUUUCUGAAAUUUGUAUUCGUCGGCUCAUAUUUGUCAAAUUGGUGGUUCAAUUUAACACACCACAUGCUGGAUUAUCUUGUUUCUUGACAUAUACACUACUUUUGUUUUUGUCGACCCUUUUCUUGUUCAACUUGUGAUUUCUGCCAAAUCUUUAUAUGCUUUCAAUAGAU
RNAcentral lists this long non-coding RNA (293 nucleotides) under Medicago truncatula (barrel medic). RNAcentral's name for it is "long non-coding RNA (MTRU_LNC006214)". The record is from RNAcentral. Lineage: Eukaryota; Viridiplantae; Streptophyta; Magnoliopsida; Fabales; Fabaceae.